Molecule: ribosomal RNA, 402 nt
Filed under: Actinomycetes bacterium
Lineage: Bacteria; Bacillati; Actinomycetota; Actinomycetes
Description: Actinobacteria bacterium partial 16S ribosomal RNA
Rfam family: Bacterial small subunit ribosomal RNA
Source: RNAcentral
UGGGGAAUUUUGCACAAUGGGGGCAACCCUGAUGCAGCGACGCCGCGUGAUUUAGAAGGCCUUCGGGUUGUAAAAAUCUUUUGUAUAGGAAGAAAAUGACAGUACUAUACGAAUAAGGUCCGGCUAAUUACGUGCCAGCAGCCGCGGUAAUACGUAAGGACCGAGCGUUGUCCGGAAUCAUUGGGCGUAAAUGGUACGUAGGCGGUUAAAAAAGUUAGAAGUGAAAGGCUAUAGCUCAACUAUAGUAAGCUUUUAAAACUGUUUAACUUGAGAGAUGGAAGGGAAAGUGGAAUUCCUAGUGUAGCGGUGAAAUGCGCAGAUAUUAGGAGGAAUACCGGUGGCGAAGGCGACUUUCUGGCCAUUAUCUGACGCUGAGGUACGAAAGCGUGGGUAGCAAACAGG